UUUUACAAUGGAGAGUUUGAUCCUGGCUCAGGAUGAACGCUAGCUACAGGCUUAACACAUGCAAGUCGCGGGGCAGCAUAGUGAUUGCUUGCAAUUACUGAUGGCGACCGGCGCACGGGUGAGUAACGCGUAUCCAACCUACCCUUUACUACGGGAUAACCCGGCGAAAGUCGGACUAAUACCGUAUGUAGUCCAUUGACGGCAUCCGAUUUGGACCAAAGGCUUAGCGGUAAAGGAGGGGGAUGCGUCCGAUUAGCUUGACGGCGGGGUAACGGCCCACCGUGGCCACGAUCGGUAGGGGUUCUGAGAGGAAGGUCCCCCACACUGGAACUGAGA
RNAcentral lists this ribosomal RNA (336 nucleotides) under Hoylesella shahii. RNAcentral describes it as "bacterial SSU rRNA". It matches the Rfam family "Bacterial small subunit ribosomal RNA", at positions 1 to 324 of the family's 1533-position model. Lineage: Bacteria; Pseudomonadati; Bacteroidota; Bacteroidia; Bacteroidales; Prevotellaceae. The record is from RNAcentral.